CCUGGCUCAGAUUGAACGCUGGCGGCAUGCCUUACACAUGCAAGUCGAACGCGAAAGUGGGGGCAACCCUGCGAGUAGAGUGGCGAACGGGUGAGUAACACAUCGGAACGUACCCAGGAGUGGGGGACAACCUCGAGAAAUCGAGGCUAAUACCGCAUACGUCCUGAGGGAGAAAGCGGGGGAUUCGCAAGGACCUCGCGCUCAUGGAGCGGCCGAUGUCGGAUUAGCUAGUUGGCGGGGUAAGAGCCCACCAAGGCGACGAUCCGUAGCUGGUUUGAGAGAACGACCAGCCACACUGGGACUGAGACACGGCCCAGACUCCUACGGGAGGCAGCAGUGGGGAAUUUUGGACAAUGGGGGCAACCCUGAUCCAGCCAUGCCGCGUGAGUGAAGAAGGCCUUCGGGUUGUAAAGCUCUUUCGGCCGGAACGAAAUCGGC
This 438-nucleotide ribosomal RNA is filed under the name uncultured beta proteobacterium. Its description in RNAcentral is "bacterial SSU rRNA". It matches the Rfam family "Bacterial small subunit ribosomal RNA", at positions 18 to 455 of the family's 1533-position model. Lineage: Bacteria; Pseudomonadati; Pseudomonadota; Betaproteobacteria. The record is from RNAcentral.